UACAUUUCCCCCUCCUUUAUUUUAAUCUCAGUGUGUUGGGUAAAGGCGUGAGUCUGGACUGCUAUGAGAUUCAAAUAACGGUAAAGGAUUAUUGUUUCGGUCGUGCGGACCGGGUGGUCGGGAUCGCAGUACUGCAGCUGCGUGACAUAGCAGACCGGAAAAGCUGCGUGUGCUGGUGCCCCUUGGGCCCUCGUAUCAACAUCGAUGAAACCCGGACCACCGCACUACGAAUCCUCUCUCAACGCUCAACUGAUGAGGUUGCCAAAGAGUUUGUCAAACUAAAAUCUGAGACCAGGCCUGCUGAAGAAGGGAGAUGAAGAUGAAACUCAAGAUUGAACUCUUCAAUUUAUCAUUAGGAUUAAAGUGGACUGAUUUAAACAGAAGUAACUGAGUACGAGACAAAUGAAAAGACUGACAGACACACAAGCAUUCACAAACUAAGGACCUACACUGUUUAUAAAAUUGUGUAUGUUUAUUCAGAGCCUUAAGAGUCACUUAACUGUUUGACUGGCUUUGCAUCACUCUUCAUGAUGGGCAACUACUCACAAAAUGAGUGCUAGCAUUGAGAAUAGUGUUCCCACGGUCAUGGAAAAUCUGGAAAUAUCAAGGAAAAGUUAUGGAAACUAAUAGAAUCCUAAAAAGUAAUUACUAAAAUAUUGAAUUGGCUAGUAAUCUCUGCAUUUGUGUUUUACAAAAAUCAUCUAGUUAACCAAACAACUUGAAAAUUCAAUAAUAAAAAAAAAAUCUUAAAUCAGCACUAAAAUAUUUUGUUGGCUCGCAAUUGAUAUUUAUGAGUGCAGUCUCUGCAUUUUUGUUUUACAUAUAAUAUCUAGUUAAUUAAAUGAUUGGAAAAGGUAUGCAAAUUAAAUCUUUAACUGAGCACGAAAAUAUUUUGUUGGCUAGAAAUUUAUUUGUGGGUUUUAUUUAUUUUUUUUUUUUUUACAAAUAUUAUAUAGGCAUUCAAAUGACUGUAAAAGUCCUGGAAAUAAUAAUAAUAAUACAAAUUAAAAAAAAACUUAAAGUCAGCAUUAAAACAAUUUGUUGGUUAGAAAUUGCUAAGUGCAGUUUCUGAAUUUUUGCAAAAUUGUUUACAAAAUUAUAUAGUUUAUUAAACAGCUGGAAAGGUCACUGAAAUGUAUUGGUUAAACAUUGUGGGAGCCCUGUGAGAAGAGAAAAGCAGAACUAUUACUUCACAGUUAUUCAAAGCACAUUGUAAUGAAAGGUAUCAGUAACAUUGUGAGAACAAAAAAUGCGUGGGUUUUGCCAAACCAUGAGUCUGUGGGCUCAUAACACAUGUUCUCUGUGGCCUUCUGAAUGGGAGGAGUGUAAUGGCUGGGGGAGUGGUCUAUUCUACCUAUUCUUUGAUUGACAGGCACAGAUAUGCACAUUUAGACAUACACUUUUCUCUAUUAGUCUUGAUCACUGAUGUGUUCCAGAAAUCUUAUCUGUGAUACCUUCAAUGCAUUCAUUUUUGUCGACUUCAACCACACCAAAUGCUUCAAUGAUCAUGAUUUUUCCCUCUAGCUUGUUUAUGGGUGUCUCAAAACUGAUACAUUCGCAAGUAAAAAAAAAAAGACAAAUAUAGACCAACCAGUAGUGCCAGCCAAUGAGAAGGGAUGUACUGUAUGAAACCUUGUUUACUUUGUGCCAAGUAGUUUGUAUGUGCUCUUUUUUGAGGUGUAAUGGAAUUAUAGUUUGUUUUGUUUGUAAUAUAUGCACAAUCAAACAGAUGUAAAAACAAUCUGUAAAGUAGACUACCACAUGUGCAUGUAUUUCUUGUAAAUUCCAGCUUUUGGACAUAUGUUUUAUUUAUGUUUUGUCAUUAUGUGGAAAGCUAUUUAUGUAUUUGCAACUGUGGAGGAGUUUGCAGAUUGAAUCCAUGUUCUGAAUUUAUUUAUAAAUGAUUUAUGAAUUAAUUAAUGAAUUUAAUGUGUCAUUCUGAUCUUGAUCUCAUCUGAUUCUGAUGCAUACUGUAUAUCUGUGGUUGUAAAACCUACUCUCGCUCUUUUUAACUUUCUAUAUGACUGUCGUUCCUCCUAAAUCAUUUCCUCUCUUCUUUCGUCUUCAGUAUUUAACAGCAGAAGCAUGUCAUUUUUUUAGUGUUCUUUCUCUCUUUAGAAGUUCCUCUAGAGGAGUCUGAUCCAGAUAUGGCAGGUUCAGCCUGGUCCAGGUUGUUGUUUAAAACCACCAGGCUGUUUCACUCCAUUGACCUCUGCCUUUAAAGAGGUGAUAUGUUUUAAAAAAUCAAUGAAACAGAGCAACUGAUUAUAAUUAGCUUUAUAUAAAAAAUGGAAGUCCUUGUUUAGAUGGUUAAGUAAAUGUGUAUAUCGUGUGUAUUUAGUCUGUGUGUGGCCUUGUGGUCAUAGUGAACAUGCUCAGUACUGCUGUACUUUGUCAGUGGUUAGAGGAAUGAGGGGGGAAAAAGGGUUGCUUCCUUUUUUGGUGUGCAGGAAAUCGAUACGUUUCUAGCAAGUAAGUGGCUGAUAGAGAGAGAGAGAGAGAGAGAGAGAGAGACUGUGAAAUGUAUAGAGAUCUUAACAAAAGUUUGACGAUCUGAGUUUAUUACACCGGAAGACCAAGAGUAAAUGUUACCGCAGAUAAAUUGUCACAAGAGUGGAACAAGAAAGAGUAACGCAAGAGAGCACUGCAAGUUGCCGCCUCUCUUCCUUGUUUAUCUUGAUUGUGUGGUGGGGUCAGUCUGUGUGUGUGUGCACGUGUGUGAAUGAGUCUAGGAUGGAUGCCUGCUCUCACUGUUUCCCAUCAUCGUAAAGUGAGAGCAGAUGGAAGACUGAGAAACAGGAGAAAGGAGGAGGAGAAAGAGAAAAUAAGAGGGCAAGACAAAGAGGAGGAGACUCUUUAGCUGACUUUUUGGCGAUCUCUGGAUGGAGAAAUAAGUCCCACACUAGACCUACACGCACUACGAUGUCACCGUAGGACACUUACGAGAAAUUAUGAUUAAUCUUGAAAAGGAAGAAAGGAAAGACAUGUCUCAUCUUUGGCUUAGA
Molecule: long non-coding RNA, 3005 nt
Organism: Cyprinus carpio (common carp)
Lineage: Eukaryota; Metazoa; Chordata; Actinopteri; Cypriniformes; Cyprinidae
Exons: 3
Source: RefSeq, a predicted model, not a curated record